AAGGGGGCGAGCGUUGGUCGGAAUCACUGGGCGUAAAGGGCGCGUAGGCGGCCCUUCUUGUCGCGUGUGAAAGCCCCGGGCUCAACCUGGGAAUGGCGCGCGAGACGGGGGGGCUGGAGUUCGGGAGAGGAGCGUGGAAUUCCCAGUGUAGAGGUGAAAUUCGUAGAUAUUGGGAAGAACACCGGUGGCGAAGGCGGCGCUCUGGACCGAGACUGACGCUGAGGCGCGAAAGCGUGGGGAGCAAACAGG
RNAcentral lists this ribosomal RNA (249 nucleotides) under uncultured bacterium. RNAcentral describes it as "partial 16S ribosomal RNA". It matches the Rfam family "Bacterial small subunit ribosomal RNA", at positions 528 to 776 of the family's 1533-position model. The record is from RNAcentral.